RNAcentral lists this non-coding RNA (113 nucleotides) under Tumebacillus algifaecis. Its description in RNAcentral is "SAM-I sequence". It matches the Rfam family "SAM riboswitch aptamer (S box leader)". From Rfam's summary of the family: The SAM riboswitch is found upstream of a number of genes which code for proteins involved in methionine or cysteine biosynthesis in Gram-positive bacteria. The SAM riboswitch acts at the level of transcription termination control. Lineage: Bacteria; Bacillati; Bacillota; Bacilli; Caryophanales; Alicyclobacillaceae. The record is from Rfam by way of RNAcentral.
CUCUUAUCCAGAGCAGGCGGAGGGACUGGCCCUACGAUGCCCGGCAACCGGUUUUCACGUACUUGUGAUCACACGGUGCUAAUUCCUUCAGGAAAUAUCCUGAGAGAUAAGAG